Molecule: ribosomal RNA, 810 nt
Filed under: uncultured bacterium
Lineage: Bacteria
Description: bacterial SSU rRNA
Rfam family: Bacterial small subunit ribosomal RNA
Source: RNAcentral
AGAGUUUGAUCAUGGCUCAGAACGAACGCUGGCGGCGUGGAUAAGACAUGCAAGUCGAACGAGAUUUUCUGUUGUAGCAAUACGAUGGAAAGUCUAGUGGCGAACGGGUGCUUAACACGUGGGCAACCUGCCAUGAAGUGGGGGAUAGCUCGCCGAAAGGCGAAUUAAUACCGCAUGUGAUUAGAAAGGACAUCCUUUCGAAAUUAAAGUCGGGGCAACCUGACGCUUCUUGUGGGGCCCGCGGCCUAUCAGCUAGUUGGUGAGGUAAUGGCUCACCAAGGCUUUGACGGGUAGCUGGUCUGAGAGGACGACCAGCCACACUGGGACUGAGACACGGCCCAGACACCUACGGGUGGCAGCAGUCGAGAAUUUUUGACAAUGGGGGAAACCCUGAUCGAGCGACGCCGCGUGGAGGAUGAAGGUCUUCGGAUUGUAAACUCCUGUCAUUGGGGAACAAUGCGCAAAUAUUAACUGUAUUUGUGUUGAUAGUACCCGAAGAGGAAGAGACGGCUAACUCUGUGCCAGCAGCCGCGGUAAUACAGAGGUCUCAAGCGUUGUUCGGAUUCAUUGGGCGUAAAGGGUGCGUAGGCGGCGCGGUAAGUCGGGUGUGAAAUCUCGGAGCUUAACUCCGAAACUGCAUUCGAUACUGCCGUGCUUGAGGACUGGAGAGGAGACUGGAAUUUACGGUGUAGCGGUGAAAUGCGUAGAUAUCGUAAGGAAGACCAGUGGCGAAGGCGGGUCUCUGGACAGUUCCUGACGCUGAGGCACGAAGGUCAGGGGAGCAAACGGGAUUAGAUACCCUAGUAGUCC